RNAcentral lists this ribosomal RNA (503 nucleotides) under uncultured bacterium. RNAcentral's name for it is "bacterial SSU rRNA". It matches the Rfam family "Bacterial small subunit ribosomal RNA", at positions 29 to 518 of the family's 1533-position model. The record is from RNAcentral.
AUGAACGCUGGCGGCGUGCCUAACACAUGCAAGUCGAACGGAGUUUAGCGCUGAUGAAGCUUCGGCAGAUCUGUUAAACUUAGUGGCGGACGGGUGAGUAACGCGUGGGUAACCUGCCUCAUACAGGGGGAUAGCAGUUGGAAACGACUGAUAACACCGCAUAAGCGCACGGUAUCGCAUGAUACAGUGUGAAAAUAUUUAUAGGUAUGAGAUGGACCCGCGUCUGAUUAGCUAGUUGGUGAGGUAACGGCCCACCAAGGCGACGAUCAGUAGCCGGCCUGAGAGGGCGGACGGCCACAUUGGGACUGAGACACGGCCCAAACUCCUACGGGAGGCAGCAGUGGGGGAUAUUGCACAAUGGGCGAAAGCCUGAUGCAGCGACGCCGCGUGAGUGAAGAAGUAUUUCGGUAUGUAAAGCUCUAUCAGCAGGGAAGAAAGACCUUGUAAGAGGGGAUGACGGUACCUGAGUAAGGAGCCCCGGCUAACUACGUGCCAGCAGCCGC